GAAUGGAUAUGCAUAUUGAGCUGUCUUACUGUACUUUCGAGGCGUUCAAGAUUUUAGCCAAGAACUAUCUGGAUCUUGAUUCUCAUCCCCUGUUCAAACAGAUCGAGUCUUUAAUAAAGGAAACAAAGAUUGCGCCAGCUGAUGUUGCUGAGAACUUGAUGAAGAAAAACCGCGAAAUCGAUGUCGAUGGAUCUCUUAAAGAUCUAAUUCAAGCUCUAGAGAGAAGGAAGAAGGUUCAGAGAGAUCAAGUAGAUGUACACAAGGACAAAAAGAAGGACAAGAUAUUCAAAGCAUUUCGCAUGUUAUUUUAAGUCUAGUUCAUGGUUAACUUUUCAGAAUCUAACCAUUAUGGUGUUCUUGAACUCUUUUAGCAAUUUCAGAGACAGUGUAUAUGUUCCUAACGUUUCUAGCUUUCAUUUUCUGCAAAAUCAUGCUCCUUGUCUUUAAAAAAUCAAGAACACAACACUACAAAAUCUUGUCUGUUCUAAGAAUUCAAGGAUAUAUAAAACAAGAAAAUGAAAUCUCUCCUGACUUCACUCGUGAAUCAGACUAAUAUUAGAUAAAAUGAAAUGUCAUACAAAUACAAGUACGUACCUGUUUCCUAAUAUGCCCUUAACAAUAAUCUCUAAUACAUAUUAACACCACAAACAAGAAAACAAAGAAACCUCUUUUUUCUCUAAUCCAAAUCAAAGAAACUAAAAAAGGGUUCCAAAGUACCUGAAACUUUUCCCAUGAAUGAUCAUCUUCAAACCAAUCCUUGAACGUAAUCUCGCAUGACCAUCCACAGAUCCCUGUUUCAGGUAUCAGCAAAGCUAACAUUGAUAUCAUUUUCAAAUGUUAUAAUGAAAAUUUGCAGGAAAGAUUGUAAGCAAUCAGAUUUUUACCGUUUGUACAUGGCUUUAAAGGAAUCUGUAUACGAGUUUUAUUGAUAAGAUGUAUCUGUAAUUUGAUACAACAGAACAAUAAUGGAGAUUUUCAAAAAGGCUGAAACCGUGCGUUUACGUAGCUACCAUGACAAGUACCUUCUAGCAGAGGAGGAUGAAGAAUCCGUGAGCCAGGACAGAGAUGGUCGGUCUAUGAAUGCA
RNAcentral lists this long non-coding RNA (1085 nucleotides) under Capsella grandiflora. RNAcentral describes it as "long non-coding RNA (CGRA_LNC001817)". Lineage: Eukaryota; Viridiplantae; Streptophyta; Magnoliopsida; Brassicales; Brassicaceae. The record is from RNAcentral.